UAGAGUUUGAUCAUGGCUCAGAAUGAACGCUGGCGGCGUGCCUAAUACAUGCAAGUCGAACGAGAACGGGACUAAGCUUGCUUAGUCUGUCAGCUAAGUGGCGCACGGGUGAGUAAUGUAUAGGUAAUGUGCCCCUUGGAGAGGAAUAACAGUUGGAAACGACUGCUAAUACCUCAUACUCCGCUUUUACACAAGUAAAAUCGGGAAAUGUUUGCUUUGCUCUCGCCAAGGGAUCGGCCUAUAUCGCAUCAGCUUGUUGGUAGGGUAACGGCCUACCAAGGCUAUGACGCGUAGCUGGUCUGAGAGGAUGAUCAGCCACACUGGAACUGAGACACGGUCCAGACUCCUACGGGAGGCAGCAGUAGGGAAUAUUGCACAAUGGGGGAAACCCUGAUGCAGCAACGCCGCGUGGAGGAUGACACUUUUCGGAGCGUAAACUCCUUUUAUCAGAGAAGAUA
RNAcentral lists this ribosomal RNA (458 nucleotides) under Alvinella pompejana symbiont apg144. RNAcentral's name for it is "bacterial SSU rRNA". It matches the Rfam family "Bacterial small subunit ribosomal RNA", at positions 1 to 450 of the family's 1533-position model. The record is from RNAcentral. Lineage: Bacteria; Pseudomonadati; Campylobacterota.